Molecule: ribosomal RNA, 371 nt
Filed under: uncultured organism
Description: partial 16S ribosomal RNA
Rfam family: Bacterial small subunit ribosomal RNA
Source: RNAcentral
GGAGGGUGCAAGCGUUGUUCGGAUUUACUGGGCGUAAAGGGCGUGUAGGCGGAUAUGCAAGCUGGAGGUGAAAGCCCCGGGCUCAACCCGGGAAUUGCUUUGUAGAACUGCAUAUCUAGAGAAAGUCAGAGGCAGGUGGAAUUCCAGGUGUAGAGGUGAAAUUCGUAGAGAUCUGGAGGAACACCGGCGGCGAAGGCGGCCUGCUGGGGCUUUUCUGACGCUGAGGCGCGAAAGCGUGGGGAGCAAACAGGAUUAGAUACCCUGGUAGUCCACGCUGUAAACGAUGAGCACUCGAUGUGCGAGGUACGACCCCUCGUGUGUCACAGCUAACGCAUUAAGUGCUCCGCCUGGGGACUACGGUCGCAAGACUA